GCUUGGACUUGUAGCAGAUCAUGUUACUGCCUGCUACAGGAAGGCAUUGAAUGCAUCAGGGAUGGGGCAAGAAGGCAGUGUGCAGUGUAACAGUUGGUGAAGAUUGCAUUGUACUAAGAGAAAUUCUGAAAGAUCUUAUGUGGUGAAGCGGGUGGAAGUUUUGACAGUUGGAGAACCACUGAAAGUAUCCUGUCUGGCUGCAUCAUUGUGUGAUAUGGAAGAUGCAAGACCCCACAGAGAAUAGUAAAACCACUGAGAGGAUCCUGGGAUCUCCCUCCCCCCUAUUUGAGAAAUUUACCUGAAGCACUGUGUAUGAAAGGCCUAAAGCAUUGCUGAGGAUCCCUACCACCCAUCUCACAAUCUCCUUGAUCCACUACCAUCAGGAAGGAGGCACAGAAGCAUCAGGUCUGGAACUGCCAGACUAGGUAACAGUUUCUUCCCUCAAACCAUGAAACAAAUGAAAACUCUGCUACCACCCAGGUGAGGUCACUGGGGUAGCGAAAUGUUUACUGUUUACUGUUCACCUGCGCCGUGCACUACGUGCAUUUUGAAUUGUAUUUUAUUAACUUAUUUGUGGUAAUAUUUUGUUUUAAGUGUUGUGUGUGAUACAUUUUUUUGUGGAUGCACCAUGGGUCCAGGGGAAUGUUAUUUCUUUCGCUUGAGUUCAUACAGUCAGAUGACAAAAAACUUGAACUUGAAUCAAAAUUGGCACUUGUGGCAGCUUGGCAGGUAUCAAACCUGGGGAAAGAUCAUUGUGUAGAGAGUUAGAGUGGGAGAUAAAGACAGAGAGGUAGAUUGAAAGAGAUAGAGAGAGAGAGAGAGAGAUAAAUAGAUAGAUAGAUAGGUAGAGGUAGAGAUUCACAAUUGGUGUGGUCCAGGUGGGCACAAAGAGAGAACCCAGACAUUGUAAAUUAAUGCUGUUCUGGACAAAAUAGCAAAGAAUAAUUUGCAAGUGGAUGAUCUUUCCAUCAAACCUUUAAAUCAUCAGACCCAUAUUUUGGCAUCUGUUAGUAUUUACCCAUGUAACUGCCAACAUAUAUUUGAAGAACUGACAGGAUCUUUGGAUUUUCACAUAAAUAGUUAUUGUGAUUAACUGCUUGUAAGAGUUUUCCUAAGUGCACUCUGAGCUCUUUAGAAGAGCAGAAAAUUGCACUAAUUCUUUGAUAGGAAUCUAGAUGAAUAUUUUGUGUCAGGUUGGACUUGAUACAGAACAUGUUUCUCCACUUAUUCUAUGCAGCCCAAUGGGAUGAACUCAAGAAGGCAUCUUGGUCAGUGUGAACAAAUUGCUUGAGAAGCCAGUUUCUGGGCUGCAUUACCCUUUGACUUCAUGACUCAGCAUUAGUUUCCUCAAAUUAUUGGAAGAUUUCUGUGCUGCCUUGGAAAUUCGUUGGUUUCUCAGUGAGGGAAGGAUGGGCUGUGCUCUGCACCAAAACAAGUUAGCAUCUAGACUGAGGAAGGGUAACCUCUUUUUUACUUUUUUCACCCAAAUGAAUCUGAUCAUAUUUGUUAUUGAAGCCAAGGGAAAGUCUGAUGAUUGCAUCUGAUUGAUCACAAACUAGGGCUCCCAGAACAGACAGAUCUUAUAAUUAUCUCCCCAGCUUUGCCCCAUAAACAGAAUUAAAUCAACACAUUUUAAAAUAUUAGGUUUCAUUUAUUUCAGCACUGUUUUUCUUCCCUUGCCAUCUGCAGCGUCUCCGUCCUGGUUUCUAACAUUUACUGUAGAGAGUCAAGCCAAUCUGCUUCUAGCCUACUCAUCUGCAAUUAGGUUGAAGCAAGCAACUCGUAUUAUUCAGCUUGAAGGAGGGCAAUCACUCUCUUACUUCCCUCACUUCCUCUGAAAGCAGCCAGACAUAGUUCAGCACUCUAAAACCCCUGGUGACAAGGCAGCAGUUGUGAUGUGAAAUU
This is a long non-coding RNA of Mobula hypostoma (lesser devil ray), 1905 nucleotides long. RefSeq lists it as uncharacterized. The record is from RefSeq and is a predicted model, not a curated record. Lineage: Eukaryota; Metazoa; Chordata; Chondrichthyes; Myliobatiformes; Myliobatidae. The transcript is spliced from 3 exons.